UACAAGCUGCUACUCAAAUUGCUCUCAUUUAGGUUCCUGAUGUUCAUCUGUGAUCUGCAGGGAUUGCUCUGCUGCUCUGAAUUGCACCAGAGCAAUCCCAGCCAACUGAACAGACGCUCCUCUUCACUCCUCUGCUUUAUGGUGAUGAUGCCACUGCUCUUGGUUGCAACUGACUCCCAGUCCUUGGACUCCCACCCACUUCAUAAUUAAGUGCCCUACCUGAAAAGAAG
This 230-nucleotide long non-coding RNA is filed under the name Gallus gallus (chicken). Lineage: Eukaryota; Metazoa; Chordata; Aves; Galliformes; Phasianidae. The record is from RNAcentral.